UGGCUCAGGACGAACGCUGGCGGCGUGCCUAAUACAUGCAAGUCGAACGGUCUUUCUAUGGAAGCUUGCUUCCACUGAAAAGAUAGUGGCGAACGGGUGAGUAACACGUGGGUAACCUGCCCAUAAGAGGGGGGAUAACAUCCGGAAACGGGUGCUAAUACCGCAUAGUUUUCUUGAUCGCAUGAUCGGGAAAGGAAAGGCGGCCUUUGUGCUGUCGCUUAUAGAUGGACCCGCGGCGUAUUAGUUAGUUGGUGAGGUAACGGCUCACCAAGACGAUGAUACGUAGCCGACCUGAGAGGGUGAUCGGCCACAUUGGGACUGAGACACGGCCCAAACUCCUACGGGAGGCAGCAGUAGGGAAUCUUCCGCAAUGGACGAAAGUCUGACGGAGCAACGCCGCGUGAGUGAAAGAAGGUUUUCGGAUCGUAAAACUCUGUUGUCAGAGAAGAACAAGUUGGAGAGUAACUGCUCCAGCCUUGACGGUAUCUGACCAGAAAGCCACGGCUAACUACGUGCCAGCCGCGGC
This 526-nucleotide ribosomal RNA is filed under the name uncultured bacterium. Its description in RNAcentral is "bacterial SSU rRNA". It matches the Rfam family "Bacterial small subunit ribosomal RNA", at positions 20 to 518 of the family's 1533-position model. The record is from RNAcentral.